RNAcentral lists this transfer RNA (76 nucleotides) under Methanomassiliicoccales archaeon PtaU1.Bin030. RNAcentral describes it as "tRNA-Gln". It matches the Rfam family "tRNA". Rfam says of the family: Transfer RNA (tRNA) molecules are approximately 80 nucleotides in length. Their secondary structure includes four short double-helical elements and three loops (D, anti-codon, and T loops). Lineage: Archaea; Methanobacteriati; Thermoplasmatota; Thermoplasmata; Methanomassiliicoccales. The record is from RNAcentral. RNAcentral also lists the same sequence under 6 other names.
AGCCCCGUAGUGUAGCGGUCAAUCAUGCGAGACUCUGGAUCUUGCGACGGCAGUUCGAAUCUGCCCGGGGCUACCA